CAGGAAAUUUUGCUCACUCCUGAGCUAGAGAAAGGUCAGAAAGAGCAGCAGCAGAGUCAAGAGAAAGAAGACAUGGCCAGAAGUCACAGGACAUAAGGACAGCCUCUGUUUCACCCUCCCCAAGGCUGAGAUAGGGAAGAAAGUAGAGCUGGAAGGAGCCUGGUGGGCUGAGAAAAUGAGCAGCAACCUGCAAACUGGAGUCUGGAUGAAGUUGAAGAUUAGGUAAAGUGUGAGUAUGAGAUUGGGAGUUUAGGAGACAGCGCAA
This 265-nucleotide long non-coding RNA is filed under the name Homo sapiens (human). RNAcentral describes it as "HSALNT0211557". Lineage: Eukaryota; Metazoa; Chordata; Mammalia; Primates; Hominidae. The record is from RNAcentral.